GGCUUCAUAGCUCAGUUGGUUAGAGCAUCGCACCAUAGUCGCGGGGUCACAGCUUCAAAGCCUGCUGAAGUCC
This 73-nucleotide transfer RNA is filed under the name Acropora cervicornis. Its description in RNAcentral is "tRNA-Tyr". It matches the Rfam family "tRNA". Rfam says of the family: Transfer RNA (tRNA) molecules are approximately 80 nucleotides in length. Lineage: Eukaryota; Metazoa; Cnidaria; Anthozoa; Scleractinia; Acroporidae. The record is from RNAcentral.